AAAGUUUCCUAACUAGACACGUUAUAAACGGGCAUGUACCGAUAGCACGUUAUCAAUUAAUAAAAUUUUGUUUUAUGACAAUCAAUUCCAAAUCCUAAUUUUCCUAAUGCAUCGAUCUUUGCCUUUUUUAAGUAGUUAUUUUGAUAGGGAGGGUUUAGCCACGAAAAUCAUCCCUCCAUCGUCGGCUGCAUCCCUCACCCACGUCGCUGUUGCAGGAUCUUCAUCCGUCAUCCUGAGCAAUUGGGGCGGCGAUGCGGGCGAGCUUCACGAUAGUGGGGAGGACCAGGCCGCGGUGAAGGCAGGUCAUGCGCUCCUCACGCUCCACGAACGGAACCUGCGCACGGAGGCGGUAGCGCGGGGUGGCAGCCGGCAAUGAGGCGGCCGCGCUACGUGACGAGCUACGGGUCCCCCUUUGUGAUGUUUUGGCAUCGCUCCUUCAUCGCACAUCCUCAGGCGAUGGCGGUGGUGUCGCUGAUGGCGGCGAGGACAGCAUGUGGCAGCUCCCGAAGCAUGAACACGACCGCACCUCGGGCCUGCCGUCUGCCAAGAUAUGGCUCUGGCCGAUUGACAAUGGAGGUUUGGGAUCCUUCCUCUCAGCACCCACUCCUGGAAGAAUCAGCGGUGCGCCACGCCGAUUGAACCCCGUCGAGAUCACUCGCCAAGAUUGCUAUUCUGAAGUUUAUUGUAAAGAAAGUGAAGAGUGAGACAGGAUCCGUUUAUUUUCAACCGGUUUAUUUUCAACCGGUUUAUUUCCAUCAAAUUACCCCCACCCCCACGCCCACCCACCGAAACGCGCCCAGCGAACCGGGGAGAGAUCCAUU
This is a long non-coding RNA of Triticum dicoccoides, 821 nucleotides long. RefSeq lists it as uncharacterized. The transcript has 3 exons. The record is from RefSeq and is a predicted model, not a curated record. NCBI's taxonomy places the organism in Eukaryota, Viridiplantae, Streptophyta, Magnoliopsida, Poales, Poaceae.